GUUAAUAAAAUAGUUCAGUUGGUGAGAGCAUAGCGCUGACAAUGCCAAGGCUGCAGGUUCGAUCCCAGUAAGGGACA
This is a non-coding RNA of Podarcis lilfordi (Lilford's wall lizard), 77 nucleotides long. NCBI's taxonomy places the organism in Eukaryota, Metazoa, Chordata, Lepidosauria, Squamata, Lacertidae. The record is from the annotation of a GenBank genome assembly.